Molecule: ribosomal RNA, 645 nt
Filed under: uncultured Actinomycetes bacterium
Lineage: Bacteria; Bacillati; Actinomycetota; Actinomycetes
Description: bacterial SSU rRNA
Rfam family: Bacterial small subunit ribosomal RNA
Source: RNAcentral
UCGCGGCCUAUCAGCUUGUUGGGGGRRRAAUGGCCUACCAAGGCGACGACGGGUAGCCGGCCUGAGAGGGCGACCGGCCACACUGGGACUGAGACACGGCCCAGACUCCUACGGGAGGCAGCAGUGGGGAAUAUUGCACAAUGGGCGAAAGCCUGAUGCAGCGACGCCGCGUGAGGGAUGACGGCCUUCGGGUUGUAAACCUCUUUCAGCAGGGAAGAAGCGAAAGUGACGGUACCUGCAGAAGAAGCGCCGGCUAACUACGUGCCAGCAGCCGCGGUAAUACGUAGGGCGCAAGCGUUGUCCGGAAUUAUUGGGCGUAAAGAGCUCGUAGGCGGCUUGUCACGUCGGAUGUGAAAGCCCGGGGCUUAACCCCGGGUCUGCAUUCGAUACGGGCUAGCUAGAGUGUGGUAGGGGAGAUCGGAAUUCCUGGUGUAGCGGUGAAAUGCGCAGAUAUCAGGAGGAACACCGGUGGCGAAGGCGGAUCUCUGGGCCAUUACUGACGCUGAGGAGCGAAAGCGUGGGGAGCGAACAGGAUUAGAUACCCUGGUAGUCCACGCCGUAAACGUUGGGAACUAGGUGUUGGCGACAUUCCACGUCGUCGGUGCCGCAGCUAACGCAUUAAGUUCCCCGCCUGGGGAGUACGGA